UUACCAGGUCUCGACAUCCCGAUGCUAUUUCUAGAGAUGAAAGUUACUUCGGUACAUCGGUGACAGGUGGUGCAUGGUUGUCGUCAGCUCGUGUCGUGAGAUGUUGGGUUAAGUCCCGCAACGAGCGCAACCCCUAUUGUUGGUUGCCAUCAUUCAGUUGGGCACUCUAGCGAGACUGCCGGUAAUAAACCGGAGGAAGGUGGGGAUGACGUCAAAUCAUCAUGCCCCUUAUGACCUGGGCUACACACGUGCUACAAUGGUUGGUACAACGAGUUGCGAGUCGGUGACGGCGAGCUAAUCUCUUAAAGCCAAUCUCAGUUCGGAUUGUAGGCUGCAACUCGCCUACAUGAAGUCGGAAUCGCUAGUAAUCGCGGAUCAGCACGCCGCGGUGAAUACGUUCCCGGGCCUU
RNAcentral lists this ribosomal RNA (409 nucleotides) under uncultured Streptococcus sp. RNAcentral describes it as "bacterial SSU rRNA". It matches the Rfam family "Bacterial small subunit ribosomal RNA", at positions 971 to 1382 of the family's 1533-position model. The record is from RNAcentral. Lineage: Bacteria; Bacillati; Bacillota; Bacilli; Lactobacillales; Streptococcaceae.